This 750-nucleotide ribosomal RNA is filed under the name uncultured bacterium. RNAcentral describes it as "bacterial SSU rRNA". It matches the Rfam family "Bacterial small subunit ribosomal RNA", at positions 41 to 754 of the family's 1533-position model. The record is from RNAcentral.
GGGGAGGCUAAACUGCAGUCGAGCGAGCUUGCCUAGAUGAUUUUAGUGCUUGCACUAAAUGAAACUAGAUACAAGCGACCGUCGGACGGGUGAGUAACACGUGGGUAACCUGCCCAAGAGACUGGGAUAACACCUGGAAACAGAUGCUAAUACCGGAUAGCAACACUAGACGCAUGUCUAGAGUUUGAAAGAUGGUUCCGCUAUCACUCUUGGAUGGACCUGCGGUGCAUUAGCUAGUUGGUAAGGUAACGGCUUACCAAGGCAAUGAUGCAUAGCCGAGUUGAGAGACUGAUCGGCCACAUUGGGACUGAGACACGGCCCAAACUCCUACGGGAGGCAGCAGUAGGGAAUCUUCCACAAUGGACGUAAGUCUGAUGGAGCAACGCCGCGUGAGUGAAGAAGGGUUUCGGCUCGUAAAGCUCUGUUGGUAGUGAAGAAAGAUAGAGGUAGUAACUGGCCUUUAUUUGACGGUAAUUACUUAGAAAGUCACGGCUAACUACGUGCCAGCAGCCGCGGUAAUACGUAGGUGGCAAGCGUUGUCCGGAUUUAUUGGGCGUAAAGCGAGUGCAGGCGGUUCAAUAAGUCUGAUGUGGAAGCCUUCGGCUCAACCGGAGAAUUGCAUCAGAAACUGUUGAACUUGAGUGCAGAAGAGGAGAGUGGAACUCCAUGUGUAGCGGUGGAAUGCGUAGAUAUAUGGAAGAACACCAGUGGCGAAGGCGGCUCUCUGGUCUGCAACUGACGCUGAGGCUC